This is a long non-coding RNA of Numida meleagris (helmeted guineafowl), 2628 nucleotides long. RefSeq lists it as uncharacterized. The transcript has 3 exons. NCBI's taxonomy places the organism in Eukaryota, Metazoa, Chordata, Aves, Galliformes, Numididae. The record is from RefSeq and is a predicted model, not a curated record.
CACAGCGGUUGCGUGUAGUAGCGCUCCAGCCGCACGCCGCCCGCCCCCAGCGCGUCCAGCCGCGGCGUCCGGAUGGCCGAGCCAUGCCAGCCCACGUCACCCCAGCCCAGGUCGUCGGCCAGCACCAGCACCAGCUUCCAAGUAUUUCUCCAGACCUUCUGAUGGAAGAAGUGGAAUGUGUCACAGAAGCAUUCCAAAGAAAAUGAUAGGAGGAGAGAUUGGACCUGCACUCAGUGCUCAAGAGAUGAAAAUCCAUAAUGAAAGAAAGCAGAGAAGCAGAUGAGAACACCACUGAUAAGAAGAUGGUGUAUAUGACAGGUAAUGCAAAGUGCCAAGAAAAUCCAAGCAAAAAGGAAUCUGAUAGGAAGAAUGGGAAAGAAAGCAGAAUAUGAGAUGGAAGAGAUGCAUUGAAAGAAAAAUAUGAUUCUGUUGAUAAUUUUUUCUCUCAUAAAAGACAAUGAAGAGUGAACGAAUAUUAUUAAAUGCUAAGCUUAUUACUAUCUUGGGAAGUGGGCCCAUGUGAACCUAAUGAACUUCAGCAAGACAAAGUGCAAGAUGUGUACAGACUGCGAGAACUCACUGAGGGAAGCCCUGCUGAGAAGGACUUGGGGGUCCUGGUUGAUAAAAAGCUUAACAUGGGCCAGCAGGGCACCGUUGCAGCCUGGAAGGCUGGCAGUAUCCUGGGCUGCAUCAAAAGUGGGUGGCGAGCAGGGAGAGGGAGGGGAUUGCCCCUCUCUCCUCUGUCCUUGUGAGACUCCACCUGCAGUACUGCAUCCAGGCCUGGGCCCCCAGCAUAAGAAAGACGUGGCACUGUAGGAGCAGAUGCAGAGGAGGGGCAUAGGAGAUGAUUGUAGAGCUGGAGCACCUCUCCUAUGAACAAAGGCUGAAGGAGCUGGGCUUGUUCAGUCAGGAGAGGAGAAGGCUUUAGGGAGACUUCCCUGCAGCCUUCCAGUAUUUAAAGGAAGUUUAUAAGGGGGAGAGGAACAAACCUUUUACAUGGAGAUUUAGAAUAGAUAUUAGGAGGAAAUUCUUUACUCAGAGGGUGGUGAGGCACUGGCACAGGCUGCACAUCCAUAGAGGUGUUUAAAGCCAAGGUCGGAUGGGGCCCUGGGCAGCCUGAUCUAGUGGCAGCCCUCCCCAUGGCAGGGGAUUGGAAUUGAUUCUUCCAACACAAGCCAUUCUAUGAUUGUAUGAUUGUUACUCUUUUAAGGAUUUGGAUUCCCAAACAGAAAAUAUAAUUUACAUCAAAGAGUAUUCUCUUGAAUCAAAGAAAAAAUUCCAGAAAUUAUCUGUGUUCAGUCCCCUUGGUUUUAAUCAAUCUUUUUUGAAUUUGGGUUUGAAAAAUUUCAGUGCUGUUUGAGUUCUGUAAUUAAUGAAAUAAUUAAAGUGACAGAGAGGAUUAUGGCAUCUGUGUUCACUUGUCAUUCUACACAAAGCAGGAUUGUGGUACAGUGUGGAAACUUGGACCAAAAAUUCAAGCAGCAGUAGUAACAUCCACUCUUGGACACUAAAACUCUCUGGAGCUGGGAGGAGAAUAAAGGAGAAUGAGAUAGAAUGUGUCUGAGAAACCUGCCUUUUGAGAUGUCCUAAUCUCUCCACAUACACAAAUUUGAGUAUUUCAGAAAAUGUCCUUGAUGACCAACAAUUACAGACUUCUCUGCUAAUUAAUGUGGCUGCAGAAGACUUGAAAGAUGUUUCUGGCAGCCUUCCUACCCCAAUAUAUCAGUUUUAUUGGUUGGAAGUCUUUUUAAAACAUUGAUGUACUACUUAAAUAUUCUUGCUCUUAUUCACUUCUUGCUGUGUUUCAACACCACAAAUUUGUGCAACGCCAGAUCACAAUGUACAAUGGAAAGAAGCAGUAGCAAGAAACUGCUGAGCACUCCCAUGCGUUUCUUCUGUUGUUUUUUUUUUCCAUUUCAUAACUAUGAAAGAUUGGCUUAUACAUGUGAAUGUCCCUGUGAACAUAGUUUGUAAAGCAUAUUCCGCUUCCAGUCUCUCUGUGCUGCAGUGUGCUGCAAUGGUGAGCUGUCCUAAUAAGUAUUCAGUAAACUGAUUUGAGUAUCAGAGCAGUAAAAAAGCAGCUAGGCAACCUAGGAAGCCCUGUCAGAGAUACAACACUUAGACAUGUUUGCUUAAAACUACUUGAGAUAUCUCUACACAGGGCAACACUGUUAAAUAGAAAGCACAGCCAUUCUUUAGACAGAAAGGAGUGCAGCAGUCUCUCAGAUACAUUGCUUGUCCUGUUUGUGGUCAGCGAUGAUCAUGGUCUCACAAGCUGAUUUUGGUCUUACAAGUCGGCGGCAGUAAAGAAACUUCAUUUUGUUUUGCCUUGUCUCAUAUACAGCAUUCUGCAGUUUUUGUCUGGUUCCCUAUAUCUUGAAGCUAAAUUAAUUGUAACUGGCCAAGGCUCAAGCUUGGUAAGACCCCAAAACAAUAGCUGUUCACGAGCAGCCCACAUCAGUAUUUGGGUUUCCUCUCUAAAUAUUAUAUUCUCAUAGUUUAAGUAUAGUCUUGCUUGAGAGUCAAGUUUUGAAAUUGAAAAUUAGUGCCUGCAAUUUACAUGAUGGUUAAUCUAAAUUAAAGCAUCUUCUUGAAUGCCUUACUGAAUAAAGGUAAAAUUUUUCACCA